RNAcentral lists this ribosomal RNA (1248 nucleotides) under Candidatus Phytoplasma citri. Its description in RNAcentral is "bacterial SSU rRNA". It matches the Rfam family "Bacterial small subunit ribosomal RNA", at positions 153 to 1399 of the family's 1533-position model. Lineage: Bacteria; Bacillati; Mycoplasmatota; Mollicutes; Acholeplasmatales; Acholeplasmataceae. The record is from RNAcentral.
GAAACGACUGCUAAGACUGGAUAGGAAGAUAAAAGGCAUCUUGUAUCUUUUAAAAGACCUAGUUAAUAGGUAUGCUUUAGGAGGGGCUUGCGCCAUAUUAGUUAGUUGGUAGGGUAAUGGCCUACCAAGACGAUGAUGUGUAGCUGGACUGAGAGGUUGAACAGCCACAUUGGGACUGAGACACGGCCCAAACUCCUACGGGAGGCAGCAGUAGGGAAUUUUCGGCAAUGGAGGAAACUCCGACCGAGCAACGCCGCGUGAAUGACGAAGUACUUCGGUAUGUAAAGUUCUUUUAUCGAGGAAGAUAAGCAAAUGGCGAACCAUUUGUUUGCCGGUACUUGAUGAAUAAGCCCCGGCUAAUUAUGUGCCAGCAGUCGCGGUAAGACAUAAGGGGCAAGUGUUAUCCGGAAUUAUUGGGCGUAAAGGGUGCGUAGGCGGUCUAGUAAGUCAGUGGUGUAAUGGCAACGCUUAACGUUGUCCGGCUAUUGAAACUGCUAAACUUGAGUUAGAUAGAGGCGAGUGGAAUUCCAUGUGUAGCGGUAAAAUGCGUAAAUAUAUGGAGGAACACCAGAGGCGUAGGCGGCUCGCUGGGUCUUAACUGACGCUGAGGCACGAAAGCGUGGGGAGCAAACAGGAUUAGAUACCCUGGUAGUCCACGCCGUAAACGAUGAGUACCAAGUGUCGGGUUAAACCGGUACUGAAGUUAACACAUUAAGUACUCCGCCUGAGUAGUACGUACGCAAGUAUGAAACUUAAAGGAAUUGACGGGACUCCGCACAAGCGGUGGAUCAUGUUGUUUAAUUCGAAGAUACCCGAAAAACCUUACCAGGUCUUGACAUGUUUUUGCAAAAUGAUAGUAAUAUCGUGGAGGUUACCAGAAACACAGGUGGUGCAUGGUUGUCGUCAGCUCGUGUCGUGAGAUGUUAGGUUAAGUCCUAAAACGAGCGAAACCCUUAUCGUUAGUUGCCAGCACGUUAUGGUGGGGACUUUAACGAGACUGCCAAUGAUAAAUUGGAGGAAGGUGAGGAUCACGUCAAAUCAGCAUGCCCCUUAUGACCUGGGCUACAAACGUGAUACAAUGGCUGUUACAAAGGGUAGCUGAAACGCAAGUUCUUGGCCAAUCCCCAAAAACAGUCCCAGUCCGGAUUGAAGUCUGCAACUCGACUUCAUGAAGUUGGAAUCGCUAGUAAUCGCGAAUCAGCAUGUCGCGGUGAAUACGUUCUCGGGGUUUGUACACACCGCCCGUCA